Molecule: ribosomal RNA, 497 nt
Filed under: uncultured bacterium
Lineage: Bacteria
Description: partial 16S ribosomal RNA
Rfam family: Bacterial small subunit ribosomal RNA
Source: RNAcentral
GACGAACGCUGGCGGCGUGCCUAAUACAUGCAAGUUGAGCGCUGAAGGUUGGUCCUUGUACCAACUGGAUGAGCAGCGAACGGGUGAGUAACGCGUGGGGAAUCUGCCUUUGAGCGGGGGACAACAUUUGGAAACGAAUGCUAAUACCGCAUAAAAACUUUAAACACAAGUUUUAAGUUUGAAAGAUGCAAUUGCAUCACUCAAAGAUGAUCCCGCGUUGUAUUAGCUAGUUGGUGAGGUAAAGGCUCACCAAGGCGAUGAUACAUAGCCGACCUGAGAGGGUGAUCGGCCACAUUGGGACUGAGACACGGCCCAAACGCCUACGGGAGGCAGCAGUAGGGAAUCUUCGGCAAUGGACGAAAGUCUGACCGAGCAACGCCGCGUGAGUGAAGAAGGUUUUCGGAUCGUAAAACUCUGUUGGUAGAGAAGAACGUUGGUGAGAGUGGAAAGCUCAUCAAGUGACGGUAACUACCCAGAAAGGGACGGCUAACUACGUG